GUGAGGAAUUUUCCGCAAUGGGCGAAAGCCUGACGGAGCAAUGCCGCGUGAAGGAUGAAGGCCUAUGGGUUGUAAACUUCUUUUCUCAGAAAAGAAUUAUGACGGUAUCUGAGGAAUAAGCAUCGGCUAACUCUGUGCCAGCAGCCGCGGUAAGACAGAGGAUGCAAGCGUUAUCCGGAAUGAUUGGGCGUAAAGCGUCUGUAGGUUGUUUAAAAAGUAUUCUGUCAAAGAUUAGGGCUUAACCCUAGAUAGGCAGAAUAAACUUUUAAGCUAGAGUUUGGUAGAGGCAGAGGGAAUUCCCGGUGUAGCGGUGAAAUACGUAGAUAUCGGGAGGAACACCAAAGGCGAAGGCACUCUGCUGGGCCAAUACUAACACUGAGAGACGAAAGCGAGGGGAGCAAAUGGGAUUAGAAACCCGUGUAGUCC
Molecule: ribosomal RNA, 426 nt
Filed under: uncultured bacterium
Lineage: Bacteria
Description: partial 16S ribosomal RNA
Rfam family: Bacterial small subunit ribosomal RNA
Source: RNAcentral